RNAcentral lists this ribosomal RNA (468 nucleotides) under uncultured bacterium. RNAcentral describes it as "partial 16S ribosomal RNA". It matches the Rfam family "Bacterial small subunit ribosomal RNA", at positions 28 to 507 of the family's 1533-position model. The record is from RNAcentral.
GACGAACGCUGGCGGCGUGCUUAACACAGGCAAGUCGAACGGAAAGGCCCUGCUUUUGUGAGGUUCUCGAGUGGCGAACGGGUGUUUAACACGUGAGUAACCUGCCCUUGACUUUGUGAUAACUUCAGGAAACUGGGGCUAAUACCGGAUAGGAGCUCCUGCUGCAUGGUGGGGGUUGGAAAGUUUCGGCGGUUGGGGAUGGACUCGCGGCUUAUCAGCUUGUUGGUGGGGUAGUGGCUUACCAAGGCUUUGACGGGUAGCCGGCCUGAGAGGGUGACCGGCCACAUUGGGACUGAGAUACGGCCCAGACUCCUACGGGAGGCAGCAGUGGGGAAUAUUGCACAAUGGGCGGAAGCAUGAUGCAGCAAAGCCGCGUGCGGGAUGACGGCCUUCGGGUUGUAAACCGCUUUCGCCUGUGACGAAGCGUGAGUGACGGUAAUGGGUAAAGAAGCAACGGCUAACUACGUG